UGGGGAAUAUUGCACAAUGGGCGCAAGCCUGAUGCAGCCAUGCCGCGUGUAUGAAGAAGGCCUUCGGGUUGUAAAGUACUUUCAGCGGGGAGGAAGGCGAUAAGGUUAAUAACCUUGUCGAUUGACGUUACCCGCAGAAGAAGCACCGGCUAACUCCGUGCCAGCAGCCGCGGUAAUACGGAGGGUGCAAGCGUUAAUCGGAAUUACUGGGCGUAAAGCGCAGGCAGGCGGUCUGUCAAGUCGGAUGUGAAAUCCCCGGGCUCAACCUGGGAACUGCAUCCGAAACUGGCAGGCUAGAGUCUUGUAGAGGGGGGUAGAAUUCCAGGUGUAGCGGUGAAAUGCGUAGAGAUCUGGAGGAAUACCGGUGGCGAAGGCGGCCCCCUGGACAAAGACUGACGCUCAGGUGCGAAAGCGUGGGGAGCAAACA
This 427-nucleotide ribosomal RNA is filed under the name uncultured bacterium. RNAcentral describes it as "partial 16S ribosomal RNA". It matches the Rfam family "Bacterial small subunit ribosomal RNA", at positions 355 to 774 of the family's 1533-position model. The record is from RNAcentral.